GCGGACGUGGUGGAACUGGUAUACACAAGAGACUUAAAAUCUCUCGUCUUCAAUGACUUACGGGUUCGAGCCCCGUCGUCCGCA
RNAcentral lists this transfer RNA (84 nucleotides) under Rhizobium tibeticum. It matches the Rfam family "tRNA". Rfam says of the family: Transfer RNA (tRNA) molecules are approximately 80 nucleotides in length. Their secondary structure includes four short double-helical elements and three loops (D, anti-codon, and T loops). Lineage: Bacteria; Pseudomonadati; Pseudomonadota; Alphaproteobacteria; Hyphomicrobiales; Rhizobiaceae. The record is from Rfam by way of RNAcentral.